RNAcentral lists this unclassified non-coding RNA (287 nucleotides) under plant metagenome. RNAcentral's name for it is "partial contains small subunit ribosomal RNA, internal transcribed spacer 1, and 5.8S ribosomal RNA". The record is from RNAcentral.
UUUCCGUAGGUGAACCUGCGGAAGGAUCAUUAAUGAGUUGUCAUGGGGUUCGAUGCUGGCAGCCAGUUUUUGGAUGCAUGUGCUUGCCCUAACAAUCAUCUUCUUCCAAACACCUGUGCACAUUUUUGAGGGAGUCUUGAGUUGGUUGCCGCUCUUGGGUGAUUUUCUCACAUUCCCUUAAAUCAUUAUACGCUAUUAACAAUGUUGAACGUGCUCUGUGCCGCAAGGCCAUUAAUAUAAUACAACUUUUAACAACGGAUCUCUUGGCUCUCGCAUCGAUACGCAGC